AGCGAGGUCUUACCGAGUUAUACACUCAUCAACCCCUCGUUGAACAUACCUAAAACGUUGCCUCGGCGGGAACAGACGGCCCCGUAACACGGGCCGCCCCCGCCAGAGGACCCCCUAACUCUGUUUCUAUAAUGUUUCUUCUGAGUAAACAAGCAAAUAAAUUAAAACUUUCAACAACGGAUCUCUUGGCUCUGGCAUCGAUGAAGAACGCAGCGAAAUGCGAUAAGUAAUGUGAAUUGCAGAAUUCAGUGAAUCAUCGAAUCUUUGAACGCACAUUGCGCCCGCCAGUAUUCUGGCGGGCAUGCCUGUUCGAGCGUCAUUACAACCCUCAGGCCCCCGGGCCUGGCGUUGGGGAUCGGCGGAAGCCCCCUGCGGGCACAACGCCGUCCCCCAAAUACAGUGGCGGUCCCGCCGCAGCUUCCAUUGCGUAGUAGCUAACACCUCGCAACUGGAGAGCGGCGCGGCCACGCCGUAAAACACCCAACUUCUGAAUGUUGACCUCGAAUCAGGUAGGAAUACCCGCUGAACUUAAGCAUAUCAUUAAAGCGGAGGA
This 553-nucleotide ribosomal RNA is filed under the name Fusarium solani. Its description in RNAcentral is "eukaryotic LSU rRNA". The stretch from base 166 to 319 matches the Rfam family "5.8S ribosomal RNA". Lineage: Eukaryota; Fungi; Ascomycota; Sordariomycetes; Hypocreales; Nectriaceae. The record is from RNAcentral.